AAAGUGGAGCAAUCCAUGAGUAAAGUGGCGUACGGGUGAGUAACACGUGGAUCAUCUACCCUCUAGUGGGGAAUACCGUUGGGAAACCGACGACAAUACCGCAUAAGCUCGAGAGAGGAAAGCAGCAAUGCGCUGGAGGAGGAGUCUGCGGUCGAUUAGUUAGUUGGCAGGGUAAAAGCCUACCAAGACUGUGAUCGAUAGCCGGCCUGAGAGGGCACACGGCCACACUGGCACUGAAACACGGGCCAGACUCCUACGGGAGGCAGCAGUGGGGAAUCUUGCACAAUGGAGGAAACUCUGAUGCAGCGACGCCGCGUGAGCGAUGAAGCCCUUCGGGGUGUAAAGCUCUUUCGGCAGGGAAGAUUAUGACGGUACCUGCAAAAGCAGCUGCGGCUAACUACGUGCCAGCAGCCGCGGUAAUACGUAGGCAGCAAGCGUUGUUCGGAGUUACUGGGCGUAAAGGGUGCGUAGGCGGCUUUUUAAGUUUGGUGUGAAAUCUCCCGGCUCAACUGGGAGGGUGCGCCGAAUACUGAGAGGCUCGAGUGCGGGAGAGGAAAGUGGAAUUCCUGGUGUAGCGGUGAAAUGCGUAGAUAUCAGGAGGAACACCGGUGGUGUAAACGGCUUUCUGGACCGUAACUGACGCUGAGGCACGAAAGCGUGGGUAGCAAACAGGAUUAGAUACCCUGGUAGUCCACGCCCUAAACGAUGCAUAUUUGGUGUGGGCCAUUCAGUUGGUCCGUGCCGGAGCUAACGCGUUAAAUAUGCCGCCUGGGGAGUACAGUCGCAAGGCUGAAACUCAAAGGAAUUGAC
RNAcentral lists this ribosomal RNA (810 nucleotides) under uncultured Bacillota bacterium. Its description in RNAcentral is "bacterial SSU rRNA". It matches the Rfam family "Bacterial small subunit ribosomal RNA", at positions 71 to 914 of the family's 1533-position model. The record is from RNAcentral. Lineage: Bacteria; Bacillati; Bacillota.